UACGUAGGCGGUUAUGUAAGUCAGAUGUGAAAGCCCCGGGCUUAACCUGGGAACUGCAUUUGAAACUGCAUGACUAGAGUGUAUGAGAGGUUAGUGGAAUUCCAGGUGUAGCGGUGAAAUGCAUAGAUAUCUGGAGGAACACCAGUGGCGAAGGCGACUAACUGGCAUAACACUGACGCUGAGGUACGAAAGCGGUGGGGAGCGAACA
This 208-nucleotide ribosomal RNA is filed under the name uncultured bacterium. RNAcentral describes it as "partial 16S ribosomal RNA". It matches the Rfam family "Bacterial small subunit ribosomal RNA", at positions 568 to 774 of the family's 1533-position model. The record is from RNAcentral.